RNAcentral lists this ribosomal RNA (473 nucleotides) under uncultured bacterium. RNAcentral's name for it is "SSU rRNA". It matches the Rfam family "Bacterial small subunit ribosomal RNA", at positions 26 to 518 of the family's 1533-position model. The record is from RNAcentral.
AGGAUAAACGCUGGCGGCGUGCCUAACACAUGCAAGUCGAACGUCUCUUCUUUCGGGAAGAGGAGUGGCGGACGGGUGAGGAACACGUGGGAACCUGCCCUUCAGUGAGGAAUACCGGCGAGAAAUCGCCGACAAGACCGCAUAGCCCUCUCUGGUGAGAGCCAGAGAAGGAAAGCCUCGCAAGAGGCGCUGGAGGAGGGGCCUGCGUCCGAUUAGCUAGUUGGUGGGGUAAGAGCCUACCAAGGCGUCGAUCGGUAGCUGGUCUGAGAGGACGAUCAGCCACACUGGGAUUGAGAACGGCCCAGACUCCUACGGGGGGCAGCAGUGAGGAAUUUUCCGCAAUGGACGCAAGUCUGACGGAGCAACGCCGCGUGCAGGAUGACGGCCUUCGGGUUGUAAACUGCUUUUCUGUGAGACGAGAACGGACGGUAUCGACAGGAAUCAGCCCCGGCUAACUACGUGCCAGCAGCCGC